Molecule: ribosomal RNA, 447 nt
Filed under: uncultured bacterium
Lineage: Bacteria
Description: partial 16S ribosomal RNA
Rfam family: Bacterial small subunit ribosomal RNA
Source: RNAcentral
AACGAACGCUGGCGGCAGGCUUAACACAUGCAAGUCGAACGCCCCGCAAGGGGAGUGGCAGACGGGUGAGUAACGCGUGGGAAUCUACCCAUCCCUAGGGGAUAACACAGAGAAAUUUGUGCUAAUACCCUAUACGUCUUCCGGGAGAAAGAUUUAUCGGGGAUGGAUGAGCCCGCGUUGGAUUAGCUAGUUGGUGGGGUAAUGGCCUACCAAGGCGACGAUCCAUAGCUGGUCUGAGAGGAUGACCAGCCACACUGGGACUGAGACACGGCCCAGACUCCUACGGGAGGCAGCAGUGGGGAAUAUUGGACAAUGGGCGCAAGCCUGAUCCAGCCAUGCCGCGUGAGUGAUGACGGCCUUAGGGUUGUAAAGCUCUUUCACCCACGACGAUAAUGACGGUAGUGGGAGAAGAAGCCCCGGCUAACUUCGUGCCAGCCGCCGCAGUAA